ACUGUCGCGCCGUCGGAGCGUCCCGCUGAGGCCUGUCCGCAUCGGUGGUUGCUCAGCAGGGCGUCCCGGCGGUGCGGCUAGG
This 82-nucleotide microRNA precursor is filed under the name Haemonchus contortus (barber pole worm). RNAcentral describes it as "microRNA hco-mir-5943 precursor". Lineage: Eukaryota; Metazoa; Nematoda; Chromadorea; Rhabditida; Trichostrongylidae. The record is from miRBase by way of RNAcentral.